RNAcentral lists this ribosomal RNA (468 nucleotides) under uncultured bacterium. Its description in RNAcentral is "partial 16S ribosomal RNA". It matches the Rfam family "Bacterial small subunit ribosomal RNA", at positions 28 to 507 of the family's 1533-position model. The record is from RNAcentral.
GACGAACGCUGGCGGCGUGCUUAACACAUGCAAGUCGAACGGAAAGGCCCUGCUUUUGUGGGGUGCUCGAGUGGCGAACGGGUGAGUAACACGUGAGUAACCUGCCCCUGACUUUGGGAUAACUUCAGGAAACUGGGGCUAAUACCGGAUAGGAGCUCCUGCUGCAUGGUGGGGGUUGGAAAGUUUCGGCGGUUGGGGAUGGACUCGCGGCUUAUCAGCUUGUUGGUGGGGUAGUGGCUUACCAAGGCUUUGACGGGUAGCCGGCCUGAGAGGGUGACCGGCCACAUUGGGACUGAGAUACGGCCCAGACUCCUACGGGAGGCAGCAGUGGGGAAUAUUGCACAAUGGGCGGAAGCCUGAUGCAGCAACGCCGCGUGCGGGAUGACGGCCUUCGGGUUGUAAACCGCUUUCGCCUGCGACGAAGCGUGAGUGACGGUAAUGGGUAAAGAAGCACCGGCUAACUACGUG